RNAcentral lists this long non-coding RNA (276 nucleotides) under Capsella rubella. Its description in RNAcentral is "long non-coding RNA (CRUB_LNC002568)". Lineage: Eukaryota; Viridiplantae; Streptophyta; Magnoliopsida; Brassicales; Brassicaceae. The record is from RNAcentral.
AUAGCUUUAUUUGCACUGUUCCCUUCUUUAUCGAAUAGGGGUUCCUCCGUCACUUCAAAUUUGACUAGGGAUGAUAACAAGAGAACGCUCUCCACUAAUACUCCCGUAUGAUAUGCAGGUUAAAGCUCCUGUGUCAGAUGCUGAAGGCUUCUUAUCUCAUACCGCUUCGUCGUACUUCAGCUAAAUGGAAUCUUUCGUAAAACCAUCCUGAAAGUAAGGUAGCAUAUAGAUUCUUCGACCUCCUGGUCCUAAGGAAGUAAUCUCGAUAGGAAUGCC